UACAGAGGGUGCAAGCGUUGCUCGGAAUCAUUGGGCGUAAAGGGCAGGUAGGUGGUCUGAUUUGUCUGGAGGUGAAAGCCUUGGGCUUAACCCAAGAAGUGCCCCGGAAACGGUCAGACUUUGAGUCUUGGAGAGGGUUGCGGAAUUCUCGGUGUAGCGGUGAAAUGCGUAGAUAUCGAGAGGAACACCUGCGGCGAAGGCGGGUUGCUGGGCUGACACUGACGCUGAAGUGCGAAAGCUAGGGGAGCGAACGGG
This 255-nucleotide ribosomal RNA is filed under the name uncultured bacterium. Its description in RNAcentral is "partial 16S ribosomal RNA". It matches the Rfam family "Bacterial small subunit ribosomal RNA", at positions 524 to 776 of the family's 1533-position model. The record is from RNAcentral.